UCUUUGGAGAGUUUGAUCCUGGCUCAGAGUGAACGCUGGCGGCGUGGAUUAGGCAUGCAAGUCGUGCGAUCUCGCAAGGGAUAGCGGCAAACGGGUGAGGAACACGUGAGUAAUCUGCCUUAGAGUCAAGCAUAGCCCCGUGAAAGCGGGGGUAAUUCUUGAUACGGUGCUGGAGCUGCAUGGCUCUGGUAUUAAAGACGGGGACCGCAAGGCCUGUCACUUUAAGAUGAGCUCGCGUCCUAUCAGCUAGUUGGUGAGGUAACGGCCCACCAAGGCUUAUGACGGGUAGCUGGUCUGAGAGGAUGGUCAGCCACACUGGGACUGAGACACUGCCCAGACUCCUACGGGAGGCUGCAGUCGAGAAUCUUUCACAAUGGGGGAAACCCUGAUGAAGCGACGCCGUGUGAGUGAAGAAGGCCUUCGGGUUGUAAAGCUCUUUCGCCUGGGAGAAAGAAAGAUGGGCUAAUAUCCCAUCGAUUUGAUAGUACUAGGUAAAGAAGCA
This 502-nucleotide ribosomal RNA is filed under the name Candidatus Omnitrophota bacterium. RNAcentral's name for it is "bacterial SSU rRNA". It matches the Rfam family "Bacterial small subunit ribosomal RNA", at positions 1 to 492 of the family's 1533-position model. The record is from RNAcentral. Lineage: Bacteria; Pseudomonadati; Candidatus Omnitrophota.